This is a non-coding RNA of Corchorus olitorius, 107 nucleotides long. Lineage: Eukaryota; Viridiplantae; Streptophyta; Magnoliopsida; Malvales; Malvaceae. The record is from Rfam.
AUGGCAUGUUGAGGGCAAUCUUCAUAAACUUUCUUGAAUCUUUCCCAAACUUGGUAAAAAUUCUCAUCUUUGCGUUGUCUAAAGUUUGGAAUCCUUUGUCUCCCCUU